Unclassified non-coding RNA from Erinaceus europaeus (western European hedgehog), 308 nucleotides. Its record names the gene 7SK. It matches the Rfam family "7SK RNA". From Rfam's summary of the family: 7SK was discovered as an abundant small nuclear RNA in the mid-70s but a possible function has only recently been suggested. Two independent studies have found that 7SK RNA binds the CDK9/cyclin T complex (known as elongation factor P-TEFb). Lineage: Eukaryota; Metazoa; Chordata; Mammalia; Eulipotyphla; Erinaceidae. The record is from Ensembl.
GGAGGUGAGGGUGAUCUGGCUGCGACGUCUGUCACCCCAUUGAUCGCCAGGGUUGAUGAGGCUGAUCUGGCUGGCUAGGAGGGUGUCCCCUUUCUCCCUCACCGCUCCAUGUAUGUCCCUCCCGAAGCUGAGUGCUUGGACGAAGAAGACAGCUUUCCCCGAAUAGAGACGCCCCGAAUAGAGACGGACUGGUCUUCAGUUGAGGGUAUACAAGUAGCUGAGCUCCCCUGCUAGAACCUCCAAACAGUCAAAACCAGCCAACAACCCAUAUAAACAUUCAUCAACAAGUUGGAAGUUCAAUGCAUUGU